AUGUUUGCACUUAUUGUUGAAGGUAAAAAGAGUGACAAACAAUUCUAGAUAAGAUACAUAAAAUACACUUGAUGAUGUUAAUUGUAUGUAGUCUACGUAGACCAGAUUGUCAAAGAAACUACUCGACAUAUAUGACAGAAACUGGAGAAACUUAAACUAAACAGAAGCAAGCCAAGAUCCUUCAAAGAAUAGAGAAACAGAGAAUAAUUCAUCAUUCAUCUAUCGAUAAGUUUUUCUAGUGCUUUCGAUAGUUUUCUUUUGCCUUGUCAUCCUUUAUAGCCUUACUAUUUAUCUUGUUCUGGUUACUAACAGAUCCCUCCUGAGCACUGCACAUUUGAGAUUUCAUCUUGAAACCAAACUUCUUGGAUACAUUUCCCCAAGUGCUUGAUCCCUUUGAUCGACCCAACUUCUCAAUCUCCUGCCUCAUGGUUGAGCACUCCUUCUCGAGCUCUGACACGCGCACCCUCAUACUAUCCAUUCCCACCUUCAACACCUGGUUUUCUCUCACAGCAG
RNAcentral lists this unclassified non-coding RNA (513 nucleotides) under Hevea brasiliensis (rubber tree). Lineage: Eukaryota; Viridiplantae; Streptophyta; Magnoliopsida; Malpighiales; Euphorbiaceae. The record is from RNAcentral.